GGCUGUGAGGCGAGGCGGGGUUUGUGCGGGAGCGCGGGGGGAGCGGCGUUCGGUGCAGUGCGAGCAGCCGCUCCUAGGGGCCGAGUCAGGCCCUCCCAGCCCCUCGCAGCCAGUUUCCUGCGUUUGCGCCGCUCUCAGGCUGCCACCUAAUGCCCCGAAGGCUCGGCACGAAGCAGCGCUGUGAAGGAGCACAUUCCAGCCCGCCCUGAGAAGGAUCCUGGGUCGCCGCAGGGGCAGAUGCUGGGAGCGGCUCCAGGCCCUGCCCGCAGAGGCUGCCCUGCCCGGGGAAUCCCAGCUGGUCCAGUUAGAUCCGUAGCUCCGUCAGCAGGGAGGAUCCCCAGAGAGGGAUGCUGAAAGUUGGGGUUACAUUAUGAUGGGCUGAACGUGCCUGGUUACGCCUUCAGGGGCGCGCUGUAGGGCAGCCGAGCCGAAAUGAGAGGAGCCGAGGUGGUGCUGAGCCGCACGCCACAGAUUUCCGUGAGGACUGCCGGGGUGUUCCCUCACACUCCAGCUCAUACAUGCAUGCGGCUCGGAGGAGAAGUAACCCGGAGAUCGGCAAUCAGCUUGAUUAUCGUCAAGGGGAUCUCUCUUGUCUGUUGACCUUGUUUCAUAAGAGAUGCUUCAUGUGCCUAAAGGAGGAAUGAGCCAUGAGGAGAUGCAGUGGCUAAAGCCCUGCGUUGUGUAAGAGCUGUGAAAAACCCCGGCUUUGCACGCAUUCUAACCAUAAAGAAUGCUGUUAUUCGAGCCUCGGUCACUCUUAUUGUCACUUUGUCGCUGCCACUCAUUGAGGGAUAUAAUGUCUCAGUGAUGACAUUGCCUGACUGACGUUUCCUGUUUAUUUCUUUUUAAAUAACAAUACCAAGCACUCACAAAACAUUUUGCACUUUACAGCAAUAUCGAGUAUUAGCUAAUGAGCCUGCUCACACCCAAAUGAGCUAUAUGACACCAUUAUUACAUGCAGACGGUCAGAAUGACUUCCUCAGGGGUAUUGUGAGUCAGUGCCAGAGGUAGCAUUAUGCUCCUGGUCCUAUUUCACAUUCAUUCCAGCAGACUGUAGAGCUUUGCACACCUGGAAGGUUUGUAAAACCAUUAUGAAUUAUUAAUUGAUUCAUUUUGAUAGUUUAAUUGAUUACUGCAUCAUUUUAUUUGAUGUAAAAGGCUGCAGCUGUGAAAUUCAGUCACUUAUUCACUCAUAGGAUCCUAAAAUUGUCCAUUUUCAAAACUUGUAUUUGCAAUCCUGUGAUGUGCCAAGUGCCCACCCUUUUCAGUUGGUACAGGAAAACAUUCUCAUAAUCUGUUUUGAUGGAAGGAAAAGUAUAUUUUGGUGUGACUCUGUCAACUUUCAUUCUGCAUCUUGAGCUUGUGUUGAACCAUUUUUUUCUUUACACUGAAAGGAAUGAGAAGGAGGUGUCUCCAAACAAACUGUGGGCUAGAUAUGGAGAGGUGAAGGAAGUAGUGGGGGGCACCAUGAAUUCCAUAGGAAUUCCACUAAUUGACACAGACUCUUACUCACUCAAGACUGUCCUACAUGUCUGGAUUUAGAGAAAAAGAACAGACACAAGGAAAACGAAAAACCAAGGGAGUAUACAUUAGAAGGGGAUAUUACACAUUUUGGGAAGCCUGUACCUCCCAAGUGCCUCAGCCUAUGAAGAAAGAGAGAGGGAAAUUUGGCCAGAAAAUUAGGAUUAAAAGGAGGCUGCAUCCCCUAACAAUUUUGAGAGAUCCCAUGAGGAAUGAUCUCUUCCUUUAUUGAAAUAAAGUUACAGGACUCCUGUCUUCUUUUUGGACAUAAACCUCUGAUGUUUGUGCAUUAAUUUUCCUGACAACACCUUUGUUCAUGGACCCUUUGUAAACUCAAAUUUAAACAAUAAACUUAUUGAGGACUUA
This is a non-coding RNA of Zonotrichia albicollis (white-throated sparrow), 1887 nucleotides long. The record is from RefSeq and is a predicted model, not a curated record. NCBI's taxonomy places the organism in Eukaryota, Metazoa, Chordata, Aves, Passeriformes, Passerellidae.